RNA transcript from Arachis stenosperma, 3737 nucleotides. It is a transcript of the gene named probable 3-deoxy-D-manno-octulosonic acid transferase, mitochondrial, with no coding region annotated. Lineage: Eukaryota; Viridiplantae; Streptophyta; Magnoliopsida; Fabales; Fabaceae. The transcript is spliced from 12 exons. The record is from RefSeq and is a predicted model, not a curated record.
AGUAGUAGUAGUAGCUGAAGCUGAAGAAGAAGCAAUGGCGUAUUCAACGAAGAAGGGUUUGCUACUGUACAACGUAUAUAGAACCUUAACCUACGCUCUCUCGCCGCUGAUUCGGCUCCACUUGAGGUGGCGCAUUUCCCGAGGCCUCGACCACCGUUGCCGGUGGCCGGAGCGACUCGGUCGCCCUUCCCUACCACGGCGACCGGGACCUCUGGUGUGGUUUCACGCUGUGUCAUUAGGAGAAGGAAUGGCGGCGGUUCCAGUGAUCAGAGAGUGCGUUCGGAAGAUGCCGAACGUGAACGUGUUGAUGACAAUCACUACUAUGUCUGCGUUUGAAGUAUUAAGGAACUGGCUGCCAAGUGAAAUCAUUUUUCAGUUUUCUCCACUUGAUACACCUAGUUCCAUUGAUUCAUUCCUUCGUUACUGGAAACCAAAAGCUAUUAUACUGAUGGAAAGUGAACUCUGGCCAAAUCUUAUCAUGCAUGCUUCCCAAAAUGGUAUAACACUGGCAUUGUUAAAUGCUCGGAUGUCUGAAAAGUCCUUUGAAGUUUGGUCAAGACCAGUGCUUCUACCCCUAAUUUCAUUGAUGUUAUCCAAAUUUUCCUUGAUUGCUCCAUUGAGUACAGAGCAGGGCAUCCGGUUCCAGCUACUGCAAGCUCCUCCUGCUAUCAUAAGCUUUUCUGGUGAUUUAAAGUACGUAAUAGAAGAUUUUGGAGUCAAUGGAAGAGGGGGGAAAAGUAUAGAUGAUCUGAGAUUACAGCUUGCUCACAAACAGGUUUGGAUGGCUUCUUCCAUUCAUAGGGGAGAAGAAGAAAGUUUGAUUGCAGUAAUAUUAGGAGUUCACACUACCCUUAUGCAACUGCAACCUAAUAUAUUGAUUAUUAUUGUCCCUCGUCAUCCACAGCAUGGGCGUGAGAUUGCCAAAAAACUGGAGAAGGAAGGACAAAAUGUAAUUUUGAGGUCCCAACAUAAGAAGCUUAAGCCAGAAACAAACAUAUAUGUGGUGGACACUCUGGGCGAAUUAAGACACUUGUAUAUGUUAACACCAAUCGCUGUGAUUGGGGGUUCAUUCCUCCCUGGUUCAACUGGCCAUAAUAUCUCGGAAGCUGCUUCGGCUGGAUGUGCUGUUUUGACAGGUUGUCAUAUUGGACAUUUCUCACACAUGGUGCUGGAAAUGCAACGAUUGAAUCCAUUGUCAGUCCUUCAGGUCUCUGGAAAAAUGGAGCUUGAAAAAACUCUCAUUCAGCUCUUCACAAAUGCAACACUAUUGGAAGCACAUCGCAAAGCUGCAAAGGAAGCAUUUUCUCGUUUGUCCAGUGACAUUGUCACAAACGUAUGGAAUUUGCUAAAUUCUCGGAUCUUUAGUAAAUUUUCUGCUGAGGAAACUAAAAUUAUAUGAAAAACGAGGAAUACCUAUUUACUAAAUUCAUUUAAUCCCUGCUACAGAGGAAUAAUAAAAUUGCAACCCAUUCCCUAGAAUGAUUGGUUUUUAUUAUCUCAAUAGAAAUUGCUAUAAAUUAUAGAAGAUAAAGUUAAUCAUCCUCUGUUUUUCAUAUUAGCUUCACACUUCUUAAAGCUUUGUAGUUUUCAUCAAAUUUAUUUUGUUUAUAUUAGAAGCUUAUUGCUGUUUAGAACUUGAAGAUCGUAAGUAGGAUGUAACUUUCACUUUCAUUGGAGAGUGGUGGUAUGAUUUUUUAUUUUUUCUUAAAAAAGAGACCUUGAUGAAGUAAAUAAGGACGAGUUUAGGGGUUUGGGAGAUUUACUUGAGGUUCUAAGUUUAGUGUCACCAAUGUAUAAAACAAUUUAUUUGAUAUUGACUGUUAAAUUUAUGCUUCAAAGUUCAAAAGCUUUGAGUUCAUGGGCUGAAUAACAAUCAAAUUUAAGGUGGGCAAUUAUUAGAAGUUUCACAUUGUUUGGAAAUAUGAUCAUAAUCUUUUUUAUAAGUGAUGGACAAAUUUUCACUCCUUGAAUUAAUUUUUGAAGGUGAAUUAGAUUUACUCAUUGAUCAAAUCCAAAUCUAUGAAGGUUUUCUGAACCCUUGUGGAUUAUGGAACCCUGCUCUGGUAGGUAUCUACAUCUAGGUAGGCAGGUGGCACUGAAAUUUACUUAGCUAACAAGAAAAUUUGCUGCUAGCACAAUCUGUCACAUUAUAAUCUUAGUUUUGUUUGUAAGAAAAGAAAAAUUAAACACUUGGUUUGAUAGUAAGGGUAACUCUUCAGCUUGUGCUGUAUCUUGACCUCUGCUGUCAACUACCAAGAUUUACUGGUGAUUCUUUUUGGUCCCUAAUUCACUGAUACAUCUUUGGCCCGCCCAUUUUGCACUAUUUGAAAAACUUCACUUUUCCCUCUAUUUCCAGCUUAAAGACUAUAUGCUAUUCUGUUGUAACAAUAUUAAUAAUCAUGAGUUGUAUUUAUGCAUCACAGAUCAUAUCAUAAAUGUGAAGGGGGAGAAAAAAAAAAGAGAGAUUAUAUAAUUACAUAUGCAAUAUAAUGUACUAAGGGUACUUUUUGUGAUAUAAUUCGACUACUGAAUAAAAGGGGGUAGGUUGCAGAUUUUAUUUGUAAAUCUAACAUAGUUACUAAGAAACUGUUCUUGUAGACUGUCCUCAAUGGAGGCUUCAUUCAAGAAAAAAGUUGAAUAGAGAUUUGGUCCUCCUUAGUGCUUUUUAGCUCCUACUUCUCCUUUUGCUAUCAAAGCUAUGAAGUAGUGGUGUAGACUCCUUCAUUGGCACAUGGGGACAAGAGGGUCUACGUGAUUCAGCUGCGGUGCCACCGCCUCUAAGGGACUGAAUUAUGUCCUCAAAGAGGAACUCAUCACAAGGUGUAAACUUUCAGGUAUCCAUCAACUAAGAGCCAACAACUAAUUACCUUUCGGGAAGUAUGGACUAACCAUGAAAGUUGCUGAAUUAUUAAACUAAUAACACACAAAUUCAAUUUGAAGAUGUAAGUUCCUCUUUAACAUAUAAUUUCACAAGUUCUAUUUUUUGAGUAGUUCUUAUAUUAAUCCUUGUUAGUUAUUUGUGGUUAAAUUAUUGACUUUGAAAUGAACCUUAAGAACCCAAACUAUAAAUUUAACCACUAAUAAGGAUUAAUAUAAUUGUAUAGUCAUGAAAAAUUUUUGCAUUAUUAAUAUCUUAUUAAAUCCUAUAAAUUUGAAUAUAUAUUAGAAGAGAAUAACUAUGCUUAUAUAAUAAAAAAUGAUCAAUGCUGUAAAGGUAAUUGCCGACUAAUAGGGACCGAGGAAACGUGAUCUAUGUUUUGCACCUAAUCAAUAACAUUGUUUCAAACAGUAACUGACAAAUACAAGGAUUAUGUUUUGCACCUAAUCUAUGUCAUUAUUUUUUUUUCAUAAACUAGUACACAAUAAACCUAAAUGUACUGUUUAAAUCACAAGGAUUAUCCCAAAACGAAAUGGAAAAGUAUACGGAAAUGGCACCAAUUCCAGGAAAACGUACCAUUAGUGUUGUUAGUUCAGAGUUGGUGUGCUUCUUUUUCUCUGUGUCUCAUGUGUCCUCACAUGUUAUUGUUAAAUUUUAAUGCAUUGGGACCGACAAUAUAACACAACCUCAUGUUUCAGUAAGAAUCAUCAUUCGCCAAAUUUAUUUUCAUCACUUUGGAGGCCUCUUGCCAUUGUAUUUGUAUAUUGCAUCAUAUAUCAUAUAUCAUAUAUAACGAUUCAUUUAAGUAGUGUUUGUUUUUAGAAACUGAAGUUAAAAUUGGGAGAUUGAGGUUAGUAUU